Molecule: transfer RNA, 70 nt
Filed under: Heterocephalus glaber (naked mole-rat)
Lineage: Eukaryota; Metazoa; Chordata; Mammalia; Rodentia; Bathyergidae
Rfam family: tRNA
About the family: Transfer RNA (tRNA) molecules are approximately 80 nucleotides in length. Their secondary structure includes four short double-helical elements and three loops (D, anti-codon, and T loops).
Source: Rfam by way of RNAcentral
GGGGUUGUGGCUUAGUGAUAAAGCACUUGCCUAGCAUGCACAAGGCCCUGGGUUCCAUCCCCAGCACUCA